UGCUGAAAACACUUUAAGUGUCAUGUGUCGCAACAUUCCAGACGGUUGUGUCAAGACGUCGAAUUUUGUCAGUUCUAUUUCAAAAAUGCAUCUUCCUUUGUUAUUAGCGAUCUUCAACAUUAUUUAUCCAGCCGUUACAGAAGUACCGAGCAACGUUUUUCAACUCCCUGUCAGCAUCAAUGUGAUCACUGGUGGAAGCGUCACUUUCUAUUGUGCUUUCCCACUCCUCCAAGACAACUCAGAUCUAAAUAUUUUCUGGUGGAAACUAGGGGAAAACAAUUUUCUGCAGACUCGGUUGGACAGCGGGAGAUAUGUUUCUACUUUGAGUAAAGGGGAGGCUACCUUUCAGCUCAUGAACGUCAAUGCCACGGACACUGGAGUAUAUUAUUGUGGGGUGAAGCGUCGAGAUAAUCCACUAGUAAAUGGAACUGGGUCAAAGCUCAUGGUCCAUGUUCCACCGACCCCAUUACGAAUUACUUACAAUGAAGUCAAACAAAAUGGAUCUGUCUUUCCCACAAUUAUAUGCAAAACUCCUGAAUUCUACCCUGAUGAGAUAAAUAUUACUUGGUACAAGGAUGGUCUGACCAUCGAGACUGGUAUAACUACGAGAAAAGUGGUAAACAUAAAUGGCCGCUAUGAAGUUACCAGCAUUCUGGUAGAGGAGGAAUCUGUCAAGAGCGGGACUAUUUACACUUGUCAGGCAAGUCAUUCUACAAUCAAAACGGCGACGGACUUCCAAUUUAUGUCAACGACCACAGAAGCGCGAUCAUCUCAAGUCAGUAAUCUGAUUCGAUUUCUGCUGGGGCUGUUCCUAAUAAUAGUGGGGAUCGUGCUCAUCGUCAAUUAUUUGCAAUCAUCCUAAAUCAAAAGGUUCUUUUGAAGACCCUGAUCUGGAGUUACACGCAGACGUCGGAUCCCGGGACCCGUUCUCGGGGUUUCUGGACUGGCCAUUGCUCGGCACAGAGUUCGAGAAAAGCGACGUAACGGACUUUUAACAUCCUAAGCCAGCGGGUUGUUUGUUGUGUCUCCCCGCUCACAGGGAAAAUGGAGAUACCUCCUUCCCCAUUAUUAGGGAGAGACAGAACCUGUGGGAUGUCGAAUGCCGGGUGAAACGCGAAGUCUUUGGGGUAACCGCAAGUCUGUGUCUUCGCUAUUGCUUUGUUCACACUUGAGUGCUCGGUGAAGGUAUUGAUGCUCGUGUUUUUGCCGGUGGGGGGAAUUGCUGCUGUACGGGGAUUGUUGUACGAUGCUGCUUACAUGCGGGA
Molecule: non-coding RNA, 1265 nt
Organism: Hypanus sabinus (Atlantic stingray)
Lineage: Eukaryota; Metazoa; Chordata; Chondrichthyes; Myliobatiformes; Dasyatidae
Source: the annotation of a RefSeq genome assembly